CGGCUGGCCAGUACCCUCCCCAGGAAGGACCAGGCCCCCGGAGGUCGAUGCCUGGUCGCCGCCGCUGUUGUUCACGGCCCAGACUAACCUGUGACCACCUGCAUCCCGAAUGGCGCUUGGGAGCGGCCCCCAGGCCCGAGCCCCCCCGGAGACGGUUGUCUCACCCGCACAGAUCUCGUUUUCGUCAGGUCUGACUUAAGGACCACCGCCGACGCUGAGUCCUGAGCCUGGAGACUUGACUUCUGGCCUAAGGGAGCCUCUCGUCGGCUGGGGCCCGCUGUCCCCAGGGCCCCUGAAGCUGAGGGGCGGCCGCCCCCUGUUGGUGAUUCAUGGACCCGCCGUCCCCGCGCCGCCACCUGGCCCCGUCACUCCUGGCCGAGCAAGGCCUGGCCUCUGGAGGCAUUUGCACGUGCCCUCCACCCAGCAAAGUGGAGCUAUUAUUAUCCCACGAGGAACGAGGGCCUUUGGAAUGAGCCUCUGAGCUGCUGGCCGGGGCCUCCUUGACUUUGCCGUGACAUUGGGCCGGGAGACCUGGGCUCGUGGGCGUUCUCUGGGUGGCCCGGCCUGGGGGGCAGGGAAGAGGGCAGCGAGCCUUCACCAGGGCCUCGGCUGGGCCCAGGAGACCAGUGGGGAGGCCCAGUUUUCUCCCUGCGGCCUCUUCACAGCCUGAGCAGCAGCGUGAGAGCAGUUAGGGUGGCACCUCCAGCCUCUCCGUGUCUCGGCCUCUCAGCCGUGGUGAUGGCAGCCGAGGAGGCCAGGGCAGCUCCCGAAGCCGGGCGUGGCCCUUCAGCCCAGGGGAAGGAGGGAGGGCUGUGGGGGGGUUCUCAGGGGCCCUUGAGUCAAUUCCUCUCCCUGUGCAGAAUUGCCUCCUUGUCCUCUGCGAUCUCAAUUCCUCUCCCACGCGUCCAGGCCCCUGGGAAGGACCCAGGACAGCUGUGACUCUGGAGGGGCCUUCAGGGCCACCUCCUCGAAGGCUUAGGAGAACCGAGGCUCCGGCCGUAGGAGCAGCACUCAGGGUGGGAGCAGCACUGGGGGGGCUGGUCCUGCACCGCCUGCCGCACGUGAUCUGGGUGCCAAGGAGCCUUCCUGGUUUGUUGGUCCCUCUUAUUUGCUGUGUCUCGUGGUGCCACCCCGUCCCAGAUAGGAAGGACUGCGUUCACCACCCGGUCUCUACAGCGGCCCUGCCGGGAAGCUGAGGCCCAGAGAGGCUGCCCCACUGGCGAGUGCUGUGCCCAGAUCCGAGCCCAGGUGCCGGGUCGGGCUCCAGAGCCUACCUUCCAAACCACUGCCUUCGAGUGCCGCUGCCUGGGGCGAGGGGCUCCAGGCAGGGUCGGAGGUGGUCUUGGGCUGAGUCAGGAGCCUGCCAGGUUCCAAGCUGGGGAAGGGCCCUGGCACGGGCAGAGCUGGCCGUGGCUUCUCCUCUGCGGCCCUGUUCUCGACAGUGUGGAAGGGCCCCUGGUAUUGUGGACCCUUCUGCAGCCCUUUGGGGCUCAGCCUGGCCUCAGAUCUGGGUCCUUCUGGCCUGGUGCCCACGUGGUAGGGAGGCUGUCUCAGCUGGGGUGAUGGCCGAGUGGUGGGCAGAGCAGUGUGUGCGGCGACCUGACCUCCAGCGGCGCCUCCCUCGGGCAGGGCCGCUCAUCUUCAUCCCUGUGGACGGUGUCACCGGUUUUUCUGGGGUUUGGACCCUGGAGAGGAGCAGUGCCUGGGGCCGCUUCUCCACCCCCAGUGGGAAUCACAGGCCCGGGGUCAGCGGGGGCUGUGGGUUCACGUGAAGGGGUCUCCUGGACACCCCCGGGCUCCCGCUGGAGCCCCUCCCAGCGUCCUACUUGGAUGGUUGACAUUCCCGGGGCUCGAGCCUUGGCACAGCUGCAGGACCGACGCCGGUGGCACCCCUUUCUCAGGAGACUCCUUGGGGUGGGGGCUCCUCUGGCCCCCCGCCCACCCUGGACACCUCUUGGACCUGUUCACGGAACCAGCCUUGUGGCCACAGCCUUUCUGCUUUCAAGUGUCCCUGGAGCCAGCCACAGCCGUGUCCCCUUUGAAGCGCUGACACUACUCCGUGUGGCACCGCAGAGCCUCAGUAAUGCCGCCUCCCUGACCCGGAAUCUUAAUGCUUCAGCCUCUUCUUGAUGGGAGUCUAGCCGUGCUCUCCGAAGGGAAGCUGAUCUACAGUGUCCUGUCACUUUUCUACUGCACAGCAAGGUGACCCAGUCACACAUACACGUACGCAUUCCUUUUUUCUCACAUUAUCAUGCUCAAGGGGUCAUGUCUGGCUUUGAAUGAAGCCCCAGCAAGGUGCCUCUCAGGAAUACCUGGUCUCAGUGUCCGGGAGUUCACCACGGGGCUUCUUUAAGGCGGCCUGAUCAGUUCCUGGUGGCCACCCCUCGGCCUGCAGCUCCCUGAGACCGAGGAUUUACUGCACAGUUCCCUGCCAAGCCACACCAGCUGAGAUCUGUUUAAAAAUAAAAAUAAAAUAAAGUAACAGCAGAAGAGCAUA
This 2497-nucleotide long non-coding RNA is filed under the name Sus scrofa (pig). RNAcentral describes it as "lncRNA (ENSSSCG00055007432.1)". The record is from RNAcentral. Lineage: Eukaryota; Metazoa; Chordata; Mammalia; Artiodactyla; Suidae.